UGGGGAAUAUUCCGCAAUGGGCGCAAGCCUGACGGAGCGACGCCGCGUGGGGGACGAAGGCCUUCGGGUUGUAAACCUCUUUUCUGAAGGAAGAAAGUCAUAUUGGUUAACAGCUGAUAUGAUUGACGGUACUUUAGGAAUAAGCCCCGGCUAACUACGUGCCAGCAGCCGCGGUAAUACGUAGGGGGCGAGCGUUGUCCGGAAUCACUGGGCGUAAAGGGCGUGUAGGCGGCUAGAGAAGUCGCAGGUGAAAUCCCACGGCUCAACCGUGGAACUGCCUGCGAAACCAUUUAGCUUGAGGACAGGAGAGGAAAGUGGAAUUCCUGGUGUAGCGGUGAUAUGCGUAGAUAUCAGGAGGAACACCGGUGGCGAAGGCGGCUUUCUGGCCUGGUCCUGACGCUGAGGCGCGAAAGCUAGGGUAGCGAACAGG
RNAcentral lists this ribosomal RNA (430 nucleotides) under uncultured bacterium. Its description in RNAcentral is "bacterial SSU rRNA". It matches the Rfam family "Bacterial small subunit ribosomal RNA", at positions 355 to 776 of the family's 1533-position model. The record is from RNAcentral.